This 619-nucleotide ribosomal RNA is filed under the name Russula gossypina. Its description in RNAcentral is "eukaryotic LSU rRNA". The stretch from base 213 to 366 matches the Rfam family "5.8S ribosomal RNA". The record is from RNAcentral. Lineage: Eukaryota; Fungi; Basidiomycota; Agaricomycetes; Russulales; Russulaceae.
CAUUAUUGUGCAACCGAGGUGCCUUGGGCUGUUGCUGACCCCAUUCUAGAGGUCGUGCACGCCUGAGCACUCUCACCCUUAUCCACUUUACCCUUGUGCAUCACCGCGUAGAGCCCCCUUUGGGUCAUUCCAAAGGGGCUCACGUUUUUCACACAUAUACCCCCUUCAAAGAAGCUUAGAAUGUAACUUUUGUGAUCACACACAAUCAAUACAACUUUCAACAACGGAUCUCUUGGCUCUCGCAUCGAUGAAGAACGCAGCGAAAUGCGAUACGUAAUGUGAAUUGCAGAAUUCAGUGAAUCAUCGAAUCUUUGAACGCACCUUGCGCCCCUUGGCAUUCCGAGGGGCACACCCGUUUGAGUGUCGUGACAUCCUCAAACCUUCUUGGUUUCUUGAUCAGGAAGGAUUUGGACUUUGGAGGUGUUUUGCUGGCUUUCUCUGAAGCCAGCUCCUCUUAAAUGGAUUAGUGGGGUCCCAUUUGCAAGUCCCCUGACGUGAUAAGAUGUUUUCUACGUCUUGGGACUGGCUCUGUAACCUGCUUCAAACUGUCUUGUCAGAGACAUUGCUCAGGUUUGCCACCUUUCGUGGGUGGGAAGCUCGACGCACAAACCUUGACCUC